RNAcentral lists this non-coding RNA (26 nucleotides) under Arabidopsis thaliana (thale cress). Lineage: Eukaryota; Viridiplantae; Streptophyta; Magnoliopsida; Brassicales; Brassicaceae. RNAcentral also lists the same sequence under 2 other names. The record is from RNAcentral.
CAAAGCAUUGCGAUGGUCCCUGCGGA